This 373-nucleotide small RNA is filed under the name Pan troglodytes (chimpanzee). RNAcentral describes it as "retained intron". The record is from RNAcentral. Lineage: Eukaryota; Metazoa; Chordata; Mammalia; Primates; Hominidae.
AGAGAGCGCUGUACAGCAUGGAAUGUGCGUUCCACCCCCUGUUCAGUCUCACCAGUGGGGCCUGCCGGCUGGAUUACCGCAGACCCGAGAACAGGAGCUUCUACCUGGCCCUCUACAAGCAGAUGAGCUUCCUGGAGAAGCGAGGCUGCCCGCGCACGGCGCUGGAGUACUGCAAGCUCAUCCUGAGGUGAGUGUCUGCUCAGGGCCAAGCCCGUCCACGCUCCCUGUCCUGGCUGCAGGCCCACUCUCAGCCUGACGAUGCCCCUGUUCCCCUUUGCUCUGCUCUCUGUGCUGCCUCCGGAAGUCUCGAGCCGGAUGAGGACCCCCUCUGCAUGCUGCUGCUCAUCGACCACCUGGCCUUGCGGGCCCGGAA